GGGGAGUUAGCUCAGUGGUAGAGCGUUUGCUUAGCAUGUAAGAGGUCGCGAGUUCAAUCCUCGUACUCUCCA
Molecule: transfer RNA, 72 nt
Organism: Vittaforma corneae ATCC 50505
Lineage: Eukaryota; Fungi; Microsporidia; Nosematidae
Rfam family: tRNA
About the family: Transfer RNA (tRNA) molecules are approximately 80 nucleotides in length.
Source: Rfam